UAGGGAAUCUUCGGCAAUGGACGGAAGUCUGACCGAGCAACGCCGCGUGAGUGAAGAAGGUUUUCGGAUCGUAAAGCUCUGUUGUAAGAGAAGAACGAGUGUGAGAGUGGAAAGUUCACACUGUGACGGUAUCUUACCAGAAAGGGACGGCUAACUACGUGCCAGCAGCCGCGGUAAUACGUAGGUCCCGAGCGUUGUCCGGAUUUAUUGGGCGUAAAGCGAGCGCAGGCGGUUAGAUAAGUCUGAAGUUAAAGGCUGUGGCUUAACCAUAGUAGGCUUUGGAAACUGUUUAACUUGAGUGCAAGAGGGGAGAGUGGAAUUCCAUGUGUAGCGGUGAAAUGCGUAGAUAUAUGGAGGAACACCGGUGGCGAAAGCGGCUCUCCGGCUUGUAACUGACGCUGAGGCUCGAAAGCGUGGGGAGCAAACAGGAUUAGAUACCCUGGUAGUCCACGCCGUAAACGAUGAGUGCUAGGUGUUAGACCCUUUCCGGGGUUUAGUGCCGUAGCUAACGCAUUAAGCACUCCGCCUGGGGAGUACGACCGCAAGGUUG
RNAcentral lists this ribosomal RNA (550 nucleotides) under uncultured bacterium. RNAcentral's name for it is "bacterial SSU rRNA". It matches the Rfam family "Bacterial small subunit ribosomal RNA", at positions 355 to 896 of the family's 1533-position model. The record is from RNAcentral.